Molecule: ribosomal RNA, 216 nt
Filed under: Glomeromycotina sp.
Lineage: Eukaryota; Fungi; Glomeromycota
Description: partial small subunit ribosomal RNA
Rfam family: Eukaryotic small subunit ribosomal RNA (bases 87-216)
Source: RNAcentral
GGGUCAGUAGGUUGGUCGUGCCACCGGUACGUACUGGUCUCACUGAUUCCUCCUUCCUGAAGAACCGUAACGCCAUUAAUUUGGUGUUGCGGGAAAACAGGACUGUUACUUUGAAAAAAUUAGAGUGUUUAAAGCAAGCUAACGCUUGAAUACAUUAGCAUGGAAUAAUGAAAUAGGACGAUCGAUCCUAUUUUGUUGGUUUCUAGGAUUGACGUA